Molecule: ribosomal RNA, 354 nt
Filed under: uncultured bacterium
Lineage: Bacteria
Description: bacterial SSU rRNA
Rfam family: Bacterial small subunit ribosomal RNA
Source: RNAcentral
GAUGAACGCUGGCGGCGUGCUUAACACAUGCAAGUCGAACGAGGAUUUAACGGAAUGCGAUUCGUCAAAUGAAAUUAAAUCCGAGUGGCGGACGGGUGAGUAACGCGUGGAUAACCUGCCUCACACAGGGGGACAACAGCCGGAAACGGCUGCUAAUACCGCAUAACACAAGUAAUUCGCAUGAAUAACUUGCCAAAGAUUUCAUCGGUGUGAGAUGGAUCCGCGUCUGAUUAGCCAGUUGGCGGGGUAACGGCCCGACCAAAGCGACGAUCAGUAGCCGACCUGAGAGGGUGACCGGCCACAUUGGGACUGAGACACGGCCCAAACUCCUACGGGAGGCAGCAGUGGGGAAUA